Molecule: ribosomal RNA, 844 nt
Filed under: Endogone pisiformis
Lineage: Eukaryota; Fungi; Mucoromycota; Endogonomycetes; Endogonales; Endogonaceae
Description: eukaryotic LSU rRNA
Rfam family: Eukaryotic large subunit ribosomal RNA
Source: RNAcentral
GCAUAUCAAUAAGCGGAGGAAAAGAAACUAACAAGGAUUCCCCUAGUAACGGCGAGUGAAGCGGGAAAAGCUCAAAUUUUAAAUCGAAUAGGGUACCUUAUUCGAGUUGUAUUUUCAAGAGACGUUUUCGGAUCGCGCCUGGGUAUAAGUCCUUUGGAACAGGGCAUCAUAGAGGGUGAGAAUCCCGUUUAUGACCCGGAGCGGCGGUCUAUGUGAUACGUUUUCAAAGAGUCAGGUUGUUUGGGAAUGCAGCCUAAAAUGGGUGGUAAAUUUCAUCUAAAGCUAAAUAUUGGCGAGAGACCGAUAGCGAACAAGUACCGUGAGGGAAAGAUGAAAAGAACUUUGAAAAGAGAGUUAAACAGUACGUGAAAUUGUUGAAAGGGAAACGUUUGAAAUCAGUCAUGUAAACGAGUAAUCAGCUUGGCUUUUGCCUUGUGCACUUUCUCGUUCGCAGGUCAGCGUCAGUUUUGAUACUAGUCGGAUAAAAAAUCAAGGGAAUGUGGCUCUCUUUUACGAGGGAGUGUUAUAGCCCUGGUUAUAAUACGAUGGUUAAGACUGAGGUCUGCAGCCAAUACCCUUUAUGGGCUGGAUAUUUCUUUUGCUCAUGGGUAACCGAGUUUAGACAGCUUGCUGACUAGGUUUGAAUUGCCUGUGACUCGAUUGAAUUUUAUUACAAAUUGGCUUAGGUCGCUGACUUAAUGGUUUUAAAUGACCCGUCUUGAAACACGGACCAAGGAGUCUAACAUAUAUGCAAGUGUUUGAGUGUCAAACUCAUGCGCGUAAUGAAAGUGAAUGUAGGUGAGAUCCUUUUUGAAAUAUUUAAUUGGAGCAUCAUCGACCGAUC